GCCGGAAGGCAUGCUUGGAAU
RNAcentral lists this ribosomal RNA (21 nucleotides) under Pristimantis aff. laticlavius SRR-2019. Its description in RNAcentral is "partial 12S ribosomal RNA". The record is from RNAcentral. Lineage: Eukaryota; Metazoa; Chordata; Amphibia; Anura; Strabomantidae.